Callithrix jacchus (white-tufted-ear marmoset) is the source of this 292-nucleotide unclassified non-coding RNA. It matches the Rfam family "Metazoan signal recognition particle RNA". Rfam says of the family: The signal recognition particle (SRP) is a universally conserved ribonucleoprotein. It is involved in the co-translational targeting of proteins to membranes. Lineage: Eukaryota; Metazoa; Chordata; Mammalia; Primates; Cebidae. The record is from Ensembl.
GCUGGGCAUGGUGGCAUGUGCCUGUAGUCUCAGCUACUCGGGAGGCUGAGGCUGGAGGAUUGCUUGAGUCCAGGAGUCCUGGGCUGUAGUGCGCUAUGCCAAUUAGGUGUCCACACUAAGUUUGGCAUCAAUAUGGUGACUUCCCAGGAGCAGGGGACCACCAGGUUGCCUAAGGAGGGAUGAACCGGCCCAGGUCGGAAAUGGAGCAGGUCAAAACUCCCAUGGUUAUCAGUAGUGGGAUCGCACCUGUGAAUGGCCACUGCACUUCAGACUCCAUCUCCCAAAUAAGAGA